ACUAAAAAUUUCUCCCUUUCUUGAAUUUCUUCCCUCAUCAGAAUCAAAUACAUGGUCCAAAUCUAGACCUUGUUCUUCUUUCUCAAAAGUAACAUUGUUUCCAAUGAAACUAGACACAUUUAACAAAGAAAAUGUUUUCCAAUAACAUUGGAAAACAACUAUAGUAGCAACAAACACAACAACAAUUAACAAAUGUCUAAAUCUCACAUAAAAAGAGAUACCCAUUUCAAAAAAAACUCAAAUGAUUACUUCAAACUAAACUAUAACAUAAUCAACUCGUUGGACUCACGUGGUUAAUGAACUUCAAUUAAUGAUGAAUUGUUCAGAAGAACCUUAAUUCGAAUCCUAGUUAAAACAAUUUAUUAAUGAUGAAUUGUUCGGAAAAACCUCAAUUCGAAUCCUAGUCGAAACAAUUAUUUGCUAGACUAUACUUAUUCCGAAAAAUUAAGACAAAAAAAAAAUUAACUAAAACACUUCUCAUCAUUACAUUGACUUAAAAAUCCUGAGCCAAAACCUGAAAUGGUAGUUUAAAUUAAAUAAAGUUACAUACAAAAAAAUAAAAGAAAUGAAAUUUUGAAGAAACUAAAGAUAACCCAAGUUACUGAAUGCAUAGAUAUUACCAUAUUCUCUCUCUGUGUUGUUGAAUCCAAUAGCUAUUGAAAUCAUGUGCUGAAGGAGUCAAUAGCUGAUAUUUGGAAUUGGUUGAAUCAACUUUGGAACCAAACUCAAGAGUGAGUGACCCUUCAAAGUUCAAUGUCAUACAAACUAAGAUCGCCUCUACAUUUAAUUUCUUUCCCAUUUUUAUUUAUA
Molecule: long non-coding RNA, 810 nt
Filed under: Trifolium pratense (red clover)
Lineage: Eukaryota; Viridiplantae; Streptophyta; Magnoliopsida; Fabales; Fabaceae
Description: long non-coding RNA (TPRA_LNC014030)
Source: RNAcentral